UUACUAGGCUAUUUCGGUAGAUGCCCUUCUAAUGUCAGUGGGACAGCUUGCAGAAAGGCAACAUUUUCACUUGCAGGGUUAAAAAGACAAGGACUUAUAACCCAGCCCACUUGAUUAUGAUUAAAUGGUCUCUGUGCCUAAACACUACCUUUAAAGGCAGCCAAAUUAACCCUUACCAUGCAGUUGUUAAUCACACCACCUCGAUUCGGUAUACCCAUCUCAGAU
Molecule: non-coding RNA, 225 nt
Organism: Pelobates cultripes (western spadefoot toad)
Lineage: Eukaryota; Metazoa; Chordata; Amphibia; Anura; Pelobatidae
Source: the annotation of a GenBank genome assembly